UACAGAGGGGGCAAGCGUUGUUCGGAAUUACUGGGCGUAAAGGGCGCGUAGGCGACCUGUUAAGUCGGAUGUGAAAUCCCCAGGCUCAACCUGGGAACUGCAUCCGAUACUGGAUGGCUUGAAUCCGGGAGAGGGAUGCAGAAUUCCAGGUGUAGCGGUGAAAUGCGUAGAUAUCAGGAGGAACACCGGUGGCGAAGGCGGGUCUCUGGGCAACUACUGACGCUGAGGAGCGAAAGCGUGGGGAGCGAACAGG
RNAcentral lists this ribosomal RNA (253 nucleotides) under uncultured bacterium. RNAcentral's name for it is "partial 16S ribosomal RNA". It matches the Rfam family "Bacterial small subunit ribosomal RNA", at positions 524 to 776 of the family's 1533-position model. The record is from RNAcentral.